Molecule: non-coding RNA, 209 nt
Filed under: Lacrimispora celerecrescens
Lineage: Bacteria; Bacillati; Bacillota; Clostridia; Lachnospirales; Lachnospiraceae
Description: Clostridium celerecrescens T-box sequence
Rfam family: T-box leader
About the family: Uncharged tRNA acts as the effector for transcription antitermination of genes in the T-box leader family. T-boxes are found upstream of many aminoacyl-tRNA synthetase genes and some amino acid biosynthetic genes usually in Gram-positive bacteria. The anticodon of a specific tRNA base pairs to a specifier sequence within the T-box motif, and the NCCA acceptor tail of the tRNA base pairs to a conserved bulge in the T-box antiterminator hairpin.
Source: RNAcentral
AAUAAGACGUUGAAGAGGACCAGUAGGUGAUGAUGUAUCCCAGAGAGAAGGCCGUUUGCUGGAAGGCCUUUAUACCUCUCAUAACCCAACCUACCUCGGAGUCCCGCAGCAAACUGCGGCGCAGUUCCUGCGUUAACGGAUAAAAAAGUGAGUCAUGGUAUUGUUCAUGGCUAAAUUGGGUGGCACCGCCGAGCUAUUCGGUCCCUUUU